Molecule: ribosomal RNA, 115 nt
Filed under: Lysobacterales bacterium
Lineage: Bacteria; Pseudomonadati; Pseudomonadota; Gammaproteobacteria; Lysobacterales
Source: RNAcentral
CCUGGCGGCAAUAGAGCUUUGGAACCACCUGAUCCCAUACCGAACUCAGCAGUGAAACGAGGCAUCGCCGAUGGUAGUGCGGGAGUUCCCGUGCGAGAGUAGGUCACUGCCAGGC